AGUGGCACAUACACUUUAACCCGUAGAUUUCCGAAUGGGGAAACCUAAUAGAUUGAAGAUCUAUUACACCGAAAGGUGUGCAAACCCGGAGAACUGAAACAUCUAAGUACCCGGAGGAGAAGAAAACAAUUGUGAUUCCAUUAGUAGUGGCGAGCGAAAGUGGAUUAGCCCAAACUAUUUAUGUUUAGGCAUAAAUAGGGUUGUAGGACCACAAUAUUUGAUGCUUUAUGAACUUGAAUCUACUGGAAAGUAGAACCAUAGAGGGUGACAGUCCCGUAAAGGUAAAGAGAGUUAUCAAUAGUGGUAUCCUGAGUAGUGCGGGGCACGUGAAACCUUGCAUGAAUUUGCCAGGACCAUCUGGUAAGGCUAAAUACUCCUGAGAGACCGAUAGUGAACUAGUACCGUGAGGGAAAGGUGAAAAGAACCCUGAAUAAGGGAGUGAAAUAGAACAUGAAACCAUAUGCUUACAAGCGGUCGGAGCCUUUUUGAGGUGACGGCGUGCCUUUUGCAUAAUGAGCCUACGAGUUACCGUUGCUAGCAAGGUUAAUUCAUUCAGUGAAGGAGCCGUAGCGAAAGCGAGUCUGAAUAGGGCAAUCCAGUUAGCAGUGGUAGACGCGAAACCGUGUGAUCUACCCAUGGGCAGGGUGAAGCUGUGGUAAUACUCAGUGGAGGCCCGAACCCGUUGACGUUGAAAAGUCUUGGGAUGACCUGUGGGUAGGGGUGAAAGGCCAAUCAAACUCGGAAAUAGCUCGUACUCCCCGAAAUGCAUUUAGGUGCAGCGUUGUAUUAGUUUUGUAGAGGUAGAGCUACUGAUUGGAUGCGGGGGUUUCACCACCUACCAAUUUCUGACAAACUCCGAAUGCUACAAAAUGUUGUACAGCAGUGAGGGCAUGGGUGCUAAGGUCCAUGUCCGAGAGGGAAACAACCCGGACCAUCAGCUAAGGUCCCCAAGUGUAUACUAAGUUGAAUAAACGAGGUUUGACUGCCCAGACAGCUAGGAUGUUGGCUUGGAAGCAGCCAUUCAUUUAAAGAGUGCGUAACAGCUCACUAGUCGAGCGGUCGAGCAUGGAUAAUAAUCGGGCAUAAGUAUACCACCGAAGCUAUGGCAUCGUAAGAUGGGUAGGGGAGCAUUCUAUGUGCUUUGAAGGCUUGCCGUGAGGCAUACUGGAGCGCAUGGAAAAGAAAAUGUAGGCAUAAGUAACGACAAUGCGGGCGAGAAACCCGCACACCGAAAGACUCAGGUUUCCUCAGCUAUGCUAAUCAGCUGAGGGUUAGUCAGGACCUAACGCGAACCCGAAAGGGGUAGUGGAUGGACAACCGGUUAAUAUUCCGGUACCUGCCGGCGCUAAAAGUGACGGAGAGGAUUAGCUACUGCGUACUGACGGAAUAGUACGUUGAACCAUUUUUUAAGAAUGGGAUAGUACACCAAGACUUCGGUUGCGGUGAUAAUGUAGCAGCCCCUCUUCCAAGAAAAGCAAGCCAGGCAGCCUGUACCCUAAACCGACACAGGUAGUUGGGAUGAGAAUUCUAAGGUGCUCGAGAGAUUCAUGGCUAAGGAACUAGGCAAAAUGGGCCCGUAACUUCGGGAGAAGGGUCGCCCACAGCAAUGUGGGCCGCAGUGAAUUGGUCCAGGCGACUGUUUAUCAAAAACACAGGACUCUGCUAAAUCGAAAGAUGAUGUAUAGGGUCUGACACCUGCCCGGUGCCGGAAGGUUAAGUGGAAAUGUUAGCUUCGGCAAAGCAUCAAAAUGAAGCCCCGGUAAACGGCGGCCGUAACUAUAACGGUCCUAAGGUAGCGAAAUUCCUUGUCGGGUAAGUUCCGACCUGCACGAAUGGUGUAACGAUCUGGACACUGUCUCAGCCAUGAGCUCGGUGAAAUUGUAGUAUCGGUGAAGAUGCCGAUUACCCGCUACGGGACGAAAAGACCCCGUGCACCUUUACUAUAGCUUCGUAUUGACCUUGGAUAAGUAACGUGUAGGAUAGGUGGGAGACUUUGAAGCAGUAUCGCUAGGUAUUGUGGAGUCAACGUUGAAAUACCACCCU
Molecule: ribosomal RNA, 2043 nt
Filed under: marine metagenome
Description: bacterial LSU rRNA
Rfam family: Bacterial large subunit ribosomal RNA
Source: RNAcentral